This 466-nucleotide ribosomal RNA is filed under the name uncultured bacterium. Its description in RNAcentral is "bacterial SSU rRNA". It matches the Rfam family "Bacterial small subunit ribosomal RNA", at positions 329 to 793 of the family's 1533-position model. The record is from RNAcentral.
UUCCAGACUCCUACGGGAGGCAGCAGUGAGGAAUAUUGGUCAAUGGCCGAGAGGCUGAACCAGCCAAGUCGCGUGAGGGAAGAAUGUCCUAAGGAUUGUAAACCUCUUUUGUCGGGGAGCAAAAAGGCUCUGCGGAGUCGUAUUGAGAGUACCCGAAGAAAAAGCAUCGGCUAACUCCGUGCCAGCAGCCGCGGUAAUACGGAGGAUGCGAGCGUUAUCCGGAUUUAUUGGGUUUAAAGGGUGCGCAGGCGGAAUGUCAAGUCAGCGGUAAAAUUUCGGGGCUCAACCCCGUCGUGCCGUUGAAACUGGCGUUCUUGAGUGAGCGAGAAGUAUGCGGAAUGCGUGGUGUAGCGGUGAAAUGCAUAGAUAUCACGCAGAACUCCGAUUGCGAAGGCAGCAUACCGGCGCUCAACUGACGCUCAUGCACGAAAGCGUGGGUAUCGAACAGGAUUAGAUACCCCCGUAC